CCCGUUGGCGGAGGCUGGACUUGUGGGGCUCCUAGAGCGGGCAUUCCGGGUCCCAGCCACGAGAUUUCUGAUCAGGAUUGUUAUAAUGAGUCUACGGAAGCAAACUCCCAGCGACUUCUUAAAGCAAAUCAUUGGACGACCAGUGGUGGUAAAACUAAAUUCUGGAGUGGAUUAUCGAGGGGUCCUGGCUUGUCUGGAUAGCUACAGGAAUAUAGCCUUGGAGCAGACGGAAGAAAAUGAAAAUGGACAGCUGAAGAAUAAGUAUGGGGAUGCAUUUAUCCGAGGAAACAACGUGUUAUACAUUAGCACACAGAAGAGAAGGAUGUGAAGGCAUCAAGCGUACAGCA
Myotis brandtii (Brandt's bat) is the source of this 347-nucleotide RNA transcript. NCBI's taxonomy places the organism in Eukaryota, Metazoa, Chordata, Mammalia, Chiroptera, Vespertilionidae. The record is from RefSeq and is a predicted model, not a curated record.